UUUUCCUACGGGGCGCAGCAGUGAGGAAUAUUGGUCAAUGGGCGCGAGCCUGAACUAGCCAAGUAGCGUGAAGGAUGACUGCCCUACGGGUUGUAAACUUCUUUUAUAAAGGAAUAAAGUGAGGCACGUGUGCCUUUUUGUAUGUAUUUUAUGAAUAAGGAUCGGCUAACUCCGUGCCAGCAGCCGCGGCAAUACGGAGGAUCCGAGCGUUAUCCGGAUUUAUUGGGUUUAAAGGGAGCGUAGAUGGGUUGUUAAGUCAGUGGUGAAAGUUUGCGGCUCAACCGUAAAAUUGCAAUUG
Molecule: ribosomal RNA, 298 nt
Filed under: uncultured bacterium
Lineage: Bacteria
Description: partial 16S ribosomal RNA
Rfam family: Bacterial small subunit ribosomal RNA
Source: RNAcentral